AACAAACCUACUUAGAGCUGUCCACUUGUGAUCUAAUCACUCAGGACAGAUGUUAAAACCAGGUCAGAACAG
Molecule: long non-coding RNA, 72 nt
Organism: Etheostoma cragini (Arkansas darter)
Lineage: Eukaryota; Metazoa; Chordata; Actinopteri; Perciformes; Percidae
Exons: 3
Source: RefSeq, a predicted model, not a curated record